This 719-nucleotide ribosomal RNA is filed under the name uncultured bacterium. Its description in RNAcentral is "bacterial SSU rRNA". It matches the Rfam family "Bacterial small subunit ribosomal RNA", at positions 87 to 794 of the family's 1533-position model. The record is from RNAcentral.
ACAAGCGAGCGGCGGACGGGUGAGUAACACGUGGGUAACCUGCCCAAGAGACUGGGAUAACACCUGGAAACAGAUGCUAAUACCGGAUAACAACACUAGACGCAUGUCUAGAGUUUGAAAGAUGGUUCUGCUAUCACUCUUGGAUGGACCUGCGGUGCAUUAGCUAGUUGGUAAGGUAACGGCUUACCAAGGCAAUGAUGCAUAGCCGAGUUGAGAGACUGAUCGGCCACAUUGGGACUGAGACACGGCCCAAACUCCUACGGGAGGCAGCAGUAGGGAAUCUUCCACAAUGGACGAAAGUCUGAUGGAGCAACGCCGGGUGAGUGAAGAAGGGUUUCGGCUCGUAAAGCUCUGUUGGUAGUGAAGAAAGAUAGAGGUAGUAACUGGCCUUUAUUUGACGGUAAUUACUUAGAAAGUCACGGCUAACUACGUGCCAGCAGCCGCGGUAAUACGUAGGUGGCAAGCGUUGUCCGGAUUUAUUGGGCGUAAAGCGAGUGCAGCGGUUCAAUAAGUCUGAUGUGAAAGCCUUCGGCUCAACCGGAGAAUUGCAUCAGAAACUGUUGAACUUGAGUGCAGAAGAGGAGAGUGGAACUCCAUGUGUAGCGGUGGAAUGCGUAGAUAUAUGGAAGAACACCAGUGGCGAAGGCGGCUCUCUGGUCUGCAACUGACGCUGAGGCUCGAAAGCAUGGGUAGCGAACAGGAUUAGAUACCCUGGUAGU